GGUUAAGCGACUAAGCGUACACGGUGGAUGCCCUGGCAGUCAGAGGCGAUGAAGGGCGUGCUAAUCUGCGAUAAGCGCCGGUAAGGUGAUAUGAACCGUUAUAACCGGCGAUACCCGAAUGGGGAAACCCAGUGUGACUCGUCACACUAUCAUUAACUGAAUCCAUAGGUUAAUGAGGCGAACCGGGGGAACUGAAACAUCUAAGUACCCCGAGGAAAAGAAAUCAACCGAGAUUCCCCCAGUAGCGGCGAGCGAACGGGGAGGAGCCCAGAGCCUGAAUCAGCAUGUGUGUUAGUGGAAGCGUCUGGAAAGGCGCGCGAUACAGGGUGACAGCCCCGUACACAAAAGCGCAUGUGCUGUGAGCUCGAUGAGUAGGGCGGGACACGUGGUAUCCUGUCUGAAUAUGGGGGGACCAUCCUCCAAGGCUAAAUACUCCUGACUGACCGAUAGUGAACCAGUACCGUGAGGGAAAGGCGAAAAGAACCCCGGCGAGGGGAGUGAAAAAGAACCUGAAACCGUGUACGUACAAGCAGUGGGAGCACCCUUUGGGUGUGACUGCGUACCUUUUGUAUAAUGGGUCAGCGACUUAUAUUCUGUAGCAAGGUUAACCGAAUAGGGGAGCCGGAGGGAAACCGAGUCUUAAUUGGGCGUUAAGUUGCAGGGUAUAGACCCGAAACCCGGUGAUCUAGCCAUGGGCAGGUUGAAGGUUGGGUAACACUAACUGGAGGACCGAACCGACUAAUGUUGAAAAAUUAGCGGAUGACCUGUGGCUGGGGGUGAAAGGCCAAUCAAACCGGGAGAUAGCUGGUUCUCCCCGAAAGCUAUUUAGGUAGCGCCUCGUGAAUUCAUCUCCGGGGGUAGAGCACUGUUUCGGCUAGGGGGCCAUCCCGGCUUACCAACCCGAUGCAAACUGCGAAUACCGGAGAAUGUUAUCACGGGAGACACACGGCGGGUGCUAACGUCCGUCGUGAAGAGGGAAACAACCCAGACCGCCAGCUAAGGUCCCAAAGUCAUGGUUAAGUGGGAAACGAUGUGGGAAGGCCCAGACAGCCAGGAUGUUGGCUUAGAAGCAGCCAUCAUUUAAAGAAAGCGUAAUAGCUCACUGGUCGAGUCGGCCUGCGCGGAAGAUGUAACGGGGCUAAACCAUGCACCGAAGCUGCGGCAGCGACACUGUGUGUUGUUGGGUAGGGGAGCGUUCUGUAAGCCUGUGAAGGUGUGUCGUGAGGCAUGCUGGAGGUAUCAGAAGUGCGAAUGCUGACAUAAGUAACGAUAAAGCGGGUGAAAAGCCCGCUCGCCGGAAGACCAAGGGUUCCUGUCCAACGUUAAUCGGGGCAGGGUGAGUCGACCCCUAAGGCGAGGCCGAAAGGCGUAGUCGAUGGGAAACGGGUUAAUAUUCCCGUACUUGGUGUUACUGCGAAGGGGGGACGGAGAAGGCUAUGUUGGCCGGGCGACGGUUGUCCCGGUUUAAGCGUGUAGGUGUGUGUUCCAGGUAAAUCCGGUUCACUUUAACACUGAGGCGUGACGACGAGGCACUACGGUGCUGAAGCAACAAAUGCCCUGCUUCCAGGAAAAGCCUCUAAGCAUCAGGUAACAUCAAAUCGUACCCCAAACCGACACAGGUGGUCAGGUAGAGAAUACCAAGGCGCUUGAGAGAACUCGGGUGAAGGAACUAGGCAAAAUGGUGCCGUAACUUCGGGAGAAGGCACGCUGACACGUAGGUGAAGUGAUUUACUCAUGGAGCUGAAGUCAGUCGAAGAUACCAGCUGGCUGCAACUGUUUAUUAAAAACACAGCACUGUGCAAACACGAAAGUGGACGUAUACGGUGUGACGCCUGCCCGGUGCCGGAAGGUUAAUUGAUGGGGUCAGCGCAAGCGAAGCUCCUGAUCGAAGCCCCGGUAAACGGCGGCCGUAACUAUAACGGUCCUAAGGUAGCGAAAUUCCUUGUCGGGUAAGUUCCGACCUGCACGAAUGGCGUAAUGAUGGCCAGGCUGUCUCCACCCGAGACUCAGUGAAAUUGAACUCGCUGUGAAGAUGCAGUGUACCCGCGGCAAGACGGAAAGACCCCGUGAACCUUUACUAUAGCUUGACACUGAACAUUGAGCCUUGAUGUGUAGGAUAGGUGGGAGGCUUUGAAGUGUGGACGCCAGUCUGCAUGGAGCCGACCUUGAAAUACCACCCUUUAAUGUUUGAUGUUCUAACGUGGACCCGUUACCCGGGUUGCGGACAGUGUCUGGUGGGUAGUUUGACUGGGGCGGUCUCCUCCUAAAGAGUAACGGAGGAGCACGAAGGUUGGCUAAUCCUGGUCGGACAUCAGGAGGUUAGUGCAAUGGCAUAAGCCAGCUUGACUGCGAGCGUGACGGCGCGAGCAGGUGCGAAAGCAGGUCAUAGUGAUCCGGUGGUUCUGAAUGGAAGGGCCAUCGCUCAACGGAUAAAAGGUACUCCGGGGAUAACAGGCUGAUACCGCCCAAGAGUUCAUAUCGACGGCGGUGUUUGGCACCUCGAUGUCGGCUCAUCACAUCCUGGGGCUGAAGUAGGUCCCAAGGGUAUGGCUGUUCGCCAUUUAAAGUGGUACGCGAGCUGGGUUUAGAACGUCGUGAGACAGUUCGGUCCCUAUCUGCCGUGGGCGCUGGAGAACUGAGGGGGGCUGCUCCUAGUACGAGAGGACCGGAGUGGACGCAUCACUGGUGUUCGGGUUGUCAUGCCAAUGGCACUGCCCGGUAGCUAAAUGCGGAAGAGAUAAGUGCUGAAAGCAUCUAAGCACGAAACUUGCCCCGA
This 2776-nucleotide ribosomal RNA is filed under the name Salmonella enterica. Its description in RNAcentral is "partial 23S ribosomal RNA". It matches the Rfam family "Bacterial large subunit ribosomal RNA". Lineage: Bacteria; Pseudomonadati; Pseudomonadota; Gammaproteobacteria; Enterobacterales; Enterobacteriaceae. The record is from RNAcentral. RNAcentral also lists the same sequence under 1 other name.